CCUACGGGGUGCAGCAGUGGGGAAUAUUGGACAAUGGGGGGAACCCUGAUCCAGCCAUGCCGCGUGUGUGAAGAAGGCCCUCGGGUUGUAAAGCACUUUCAGUGAGGAAGAACGCCUGGUGGUUAAUACCCAUCAGGAAAGACAUCACUCACAGAAGAAGCACCGGCUAACUCCGUGCCAGCAGCCGCGGUAAUACGGAGGGUGCGAGCGUUAAUCGGAAUUACUGGGCGUAAAGCGCGCGUAGGUGGCUUGAUAAGCCGGUUGUGAAAGCCCCGGGCUCAACCUGGGAACGGCAUCCGGAACUGUCAAGCUAGAGUGUAGGAGAGGAAGGUAGAAUUCCCGGUGUAGCGGUGAAAUGCGUAGAGAUCGGGAGGAAUACCAGUGGCGAAGGCGGCCUUCUGGACUGACACUGACACUGAGGUGCGAAAGCGUGGGUAGCAAACAGGAUUAGAUACCCUUGUAGUC
RNAcentral lists this ribosomal RNA (465 nucleotides) under Vreelandella stevensii. Its description in RNAcentral is "partial 16S ribosomal RNA". It matches the Rfam family "Bacterial small subunit ribosomal RNA", at positions 338 to 795 of the family's 1533-position model. The record is from RNAcentral. Lineage: Bacteria; Pseudomonadati; Pseudomonadota; Gammaproteobacteria; Oceanospirillales; Halomonadaceae.